AAGUCGUAACAAGGUUUCCGUAGGUGAACCUGCGGAAGGAUCAUUAACACGUAUCCAACGUUAAACCCCCCGUGAACCUUCAGUGCGCUCGCACUUUCUUAGAAAAGGUAGCAAUCCCUGGUAAAUCAUUGCCGAACAGUUUUGAUUCAGGGACUUCUGCGUAGACUGUGCUUGAGCGUGAGGCAAGUGGCCUGGCAUUCCUCUGCUUGUUGGUGUCUGAAAGUGUCACCAGCUCUGUACGAAUGGCGCAGUCACGAUCGCUAGAGGCCGACGGCCGGCGACCAAACGGGCCUGCGCUUAAUUGUGCGGCCACCAAACUCGAACAACUGUUAACAAUGGAUCUCUGAUCUCUUGGUUCUC
Molecule: unclassified non-coding RNA, 360 nt
Filed under: fungal sp.
Lineage: Eukaryota; Fungi
Description: partial internal transcribed spacer region
Rfam family: Eukaryotic small subunit ribosomal RNA (bases 1-46)
Source: RNAcentral